RNAcentral lists this ribosomal RNA (495 nucleotides) under uncultured bacterium. Its description in RNAcentral is "partial 16S ribosomal RNA". It matches the Rfam family "Bacterial small subunit ribosomal RNA", at positions 28 to 507 of the family's 1533-position model. The record is from RNAcentral.
GACGAACGCUGGCGGCGUGCCUAAUACAUGCAAGUAGAACGCUGAAGGAGGAGCUUGCUUCUCUGGAUGAGUUGCGAACGGGUGAGUAACGCGUAGGUAACCUGCCUGGUAGCGGGGGAUAACUAUUGGAAACGAUAGCUAAUACCGCAUAAGAGUAGAUGUCGCAUGACAUUUGCUUAAAAGGUGCAAUUGCAUCACUACCAGAUGGACCUGCGUUGUAUUAGCUAGUUGGUGAGGUAACGGCUCACCAAGGCAAUGAUACAUAGCCGACCUGAGAGGGUGAUCGGCCACACUGGGACUGAGACACGGCCCAGACUCCUACGGGAGGCAGCAGUAGGGAAUCUUCGGCAAUGGACGGAAGUCUGACCGAGCAACGCCGCGUGAGUGAAGAAGGUUUUCGGAUCGUAAAGCUCUGUUGUAAGAGAAGAACGAGUGUGAGAGUGGAAAGUUCACACUGUGACGGUAUCUUACCAGAAAGGGACGGCUAACUACGUG